UGUGGUUUAAUUCGAAGCAACGCGAAGAACCUUACCAGGUCUUGACAUCCCUGACAACCCGAGAGAUCGGGCGUUCCCCUUCGGGGGGACAGGGUGACAGGUGGUGGCAUGGUUGUCGUCAGCUCGUGUCGUGAGAUGUUGGGUUAAGUCCCGCAACGAGCGCAACCCUCGACCUUAGUUGCCAGCAUUCAGUUGGGCACUCUAAGGUGACUGCGGCUAAAAGUCGGAGAAGUGGGGAUGACGUCAAAUCAUCAUGCCCCUUAUGACCUGGGCUACACACGUGCUACAAUGGGCGGUACAAAGGGUCGCGAACCCGCGAGGGGGAGCCAAUCCCAAAAAGCCGCUCUCAGUUCGGAUUGCAGGCUGCAACUCGCCUGCAUGAAGCCGGAAUCGCUAGUAAUCGCGGAUCAGCAUGCCGCGGUCGAAUACGUUCCCGGGCCUU
This 442-nucleotide ribosomal RNA is filed under the name uncultured Anoxybacillus sp. Its description in RNAcentral is "bacterial SSU rRNA". It matches the Rfam family "Bacterial small subunit ribosomal RNA", at positions 940 to 1382 of the family's 1533-position model. Lineage: Bacteria; Bacillati; Bacillota; Bacilli; Caryophanales; Anoxybacillaceae. The record is from RNAcentral.